Carassius gibelio (silver crucian carp) is the source of this 237-nucleotide long non-coding RNA. RefSeq lists it as uncharacterized. Lineage: Eukaryota; Metazoa; Chordata; Actinopteri; Cypriniformes; Cyprinidae. The record is from RefSeq and is a predicted model, not a curated record. The transcript is spliced from 2 exons.
GACAAGGCCAGGGAAGCGGUCAGGGCCAGGGAAGCGGUCAGGGACAAGGCCAGGGUCAGGGAAGCGGUCAGGGACAAGGCCAGGGUCAGGGACAGGGACAAGGUCAGGGAAGCGGACAGGGUCAGGGAAGCUGUCAAGGCCAGGUACAGGGACAUGGAAGUGGAAGAGGUCAGGGAAGAAGUCAACAGAAGGGUCAGGGAUGUGGUCAUUGAAGUGGACAUGGGACUUUUGCUUAAU